Molecule: ribosomal RNA, 538 nt
Filed under: Fusarium sp. CR10
Lineage: Eukaryota; Fungi; Ascomycota; Sordariomycetes; Hypocreales; Nectriaceae
Also listed under: 3 other names
Description: eukaryotic LSU rRNA
Rfam family: 5.8S ribosomal RNA (bases 170-323)
Source: RNAcentral
CCUGCGGAGGGAUCAUUACCGAGUUUACAACUCCCAAACCCCUGUGAACAUACCUUAAUGUUGCCUCGGCGGAUCAGCCCGCGCCCCGUAAAACGGGACGGCCCGCCAGAGGACCCAAACUCUAAUGUUUCUUAUUGUAACUUCUGAGUAAAACAAACAAAUAAAUCAAAACUUUCAACAACGGAUCUCUUGGUUCUGGCAUCGAUGAAGAACGCAGCAAAAUGCGAUAAGUAAUGUGAAUUGCAGAAUUCAGUGAAUCAUCGAAUCUUUGAACGCACAUUGCGCCCGCUGGUAUUCCGGCGGGCAUGCCUGUUCGAGCGUCAUUUCAACCCUCAAGCCCCCGGGUUUGGUGUUGGGGAUCGGCUCUGCCCUUCUGGGCGGUGCCGCCCCCGAAAUACAUUGGCGGUCUCGCUGCAGCCUCCAUUGCGUAGUAGCUAACACCUCGCAACUGGAACGCGGCGCGGCCAUGCCGUAAAACCCCAACUUCUGAAUGUUGACCUCGGAUCAGGUAGGAAUACCCGCUGAACUUAAGCAUAUC